GGGCGCGUAGUUCAGCGGUAUGAACGUCCGCCUCACACGCGGAAGGUCGCUGGUUCGAUCCCAGCCGCGCCCA
Betaproteobacteria bacterium is the source of this 73-nucleotide non-coding RNA. Lineage: Bacteria; Pseudomonadati; Pseudomonadota; Betaproteobacteria. The record is from Rfam.